Molecule: ribosomal RNA, 324 nt
Filed under: Clostridioides difficile
Lineage: Bacteria; Bacillati; Bacillota; Clostridia; Peptostreptococcales; Peptostreptococcaceae
Description: bacterial LSU rRNA
Rfam family: Bacterial large subunit ribosomal RNA
Source: RNAcentral
UGAUCCAGAGUACCACGGGACACGUGAAACCCUGUGGGAAGCAGGAGGGACCACCCUCCAAGGCUAAAUACUACCUAGUGACCGAUAGCGUAUAGUACCGUGAGGGAAAGGUGAAAAGAACCCCGGGCGGGGAGUGAAAUAGAACCUGAAACCCUGCACUUACAAGCUGUGGAAGCACAUUUCUUGUGUGACCGCGUACUUUUUGUAGAACGGGCCAACGAGUUACGUUAAGUAGCAAGGUUAAGCACUUAAGGUGCGGAGCCGUAGCGAAAGCGAGUUUUAACUGAGCGUUCAGUUACUUGACGUAGACCCGAAACCGGGCGA